GACGAACGCUGGCGGCGUGCUUAACACAUGCAAGUCGAACGGAAAGGCCCUGCUUUUGUGGGGUGCUCGAGUGGCGAACGGGUGAGUAACACGUGAGUAACCUGCCCUUGACUUUGGGAUAACUUCAGGAAACUGGGGCUAAUACCGGAUAGGAGCUCCUGCUGCAUGGUGGGGGUUGGAAAGUUUCGGCGGUUGGGGAUGGACUCGCGGCUUAUCAGCUUGUUGGUGGGGUAGUGGCUUACCAAGGCUUUGACGGGUAGCCGGCCUGAGAGGGUGACCGGCCACAUUGGGACGGAGAUACGGCCCAGACUCCUACGGGAGGCAGCAGUGGGGAAUAUUGCACAAGGGGCGGAAGCCUGAUGCAGCAACGCCGCGUGGGGGAGGACGGCCUUCGGGUGUAAACCGCUUUCGCCUGUGACGAAGCGUGAGUGACGGUAAUGGGUAAAGAAGCACCGGCUAACUACGUG
RNAcentral lists this ribosomal RNA (467 nucleotides) under uncultured bacterium. RNAcentral describes it as "partial 16S ribosomal RNA". It matches the Rfam family "Bacterial small subunit ribosomal RNA", at positions 28 to 507 of the family's 1533-position model. The record is from RNAcentral.